Podarcis lilfordi (Lilford's wall lizard) is the source of this 94-nucleotide non-coding RNA. The record is from the annotation of a GenBank genome assembly. Lineage: Eukaryota; Metazoa; Chordata; Lepidosauria; Squamata; Lacertidae.
AUUCUUUGUGUAUAUGUGUGUGUGUGUGUGUGUGUAUACACACACACACACACACACACACACACACACAGACAUACACACACACAGUGAGUCU